This 801-nucleotide ribosomal RNA is filed under the name uncultured bacterium. RNAcentral describes it as "bacterial SSU rRNA". It matches the Rfam family "Bacterial small subunit ribosomal RNA", at positions 63 to 863 of the family's 1533-position model. The record is from RNAcentral.
CGAGGGGCAGCAGUACUUUUCGGAGUAGCUGGCGACCGGCGCACGGGUGCGUAACGCGUAUGCAAUCUACCUACAGCAGAGGGAUAGCCCGUGGAAACAUGGAUUAAUACCUCAUAAUACAGGGGGCCCACCUGGGCAUAUUGUUAAAGAUUUAUCGGCUGUAGAUGAGCAUGCGUCCCAUUAGCUAGUUGGUACGGUAACGGCGUACCAAGGCGAUGAUGGGUAGGGGUUCUGAGAGGAUGAUCCCCCACACUGGUACUGAGAUACGGACCAGACUCCUACGGGAGGCAGCAGUAGGGAAUAUUGGUCAAUGGACGAGAGUCUGAACCAGCCAUGCCGCGUGCAGGAAGACGGCCUUCUGGGUUGUAAACUGCUUUUCUCAGGGAAGAAAAUGGUCUUGCGAGACAAAUUGCCGGUACCUGAGGAAUAAGCACCGGCUAACUCCGUGCCAGCAGCCGCGGUAAUACGGAGGGUGCGAGCGUUGUCCGGAUUUAUUGGGUUUAAAGGGUGCGUAGGCGGCCUAUUAAGUCAGUGGUGAAAGGUAUCAGCUUAACUGAUGAUGUGCCAUUGAAACUGACAGGCUUGAGUACAGACGAGGUAGGCGGAAUUUAUGGUGUAGCGGUGAAAUGCAUAGAUACCAUAAAGAACACCGAUAGCGAAGGCAGCUUACUAGGCUGAGACUGACGCUGAGGCACGAAAGCGUGGGGAGCGAACAGGAUUAGAUACCCUGGUAGUCCACGCUGUAAACGAUGAUUACUGGAUGUGUGCGAUAAACAGUACGCGUCUGAGCGAAAGCGUUAA